This is a small nuclear RNA of Heterocephalus glaber (naked mole-rat), 103 nucleotides long. The record is from Ensembl. NCBI's taxonomy places the organism in Eukaryota, Metazoa, Chordata, Mammalia, Rodentia, Bathyergidae.
AUGCUCGCUUUGGCAGCAUUUCUACUAACAUUGGAAAGAUAGAGAGAUUAGCAUGGCCCUGCACAAAGAUGACACACAACUUUGUGAAGUGUUCCGUGUUUUU